GUUUCAUGAAAAUUUAUAUUAAAAUUUUAUUUUUUAGUUAAAAAGCUAAAAUAAUUUUAAAAGACGAGAAGACCCUAUAAAUCUUUAUAAUUUUUUAUAUUUUAAUUUUUAAAGAUAAAUUUUAUUAUAAUGUAAAAAUUUAUUUUAUUGGGGUGAUAUUAAAAUUUAAUUAACUUUUAAUUAACAAAUUACAUUAAUUAAUGAAUAAUUGAUCCAUUAUUAGUGAUUAAAAAAUUAAGUUACUUUAGGGAUAACAGCGUAAUUUUUUUGGAGAGUUCUUAUCGAUAAAAAAGUUUGCGACCUCGAUGUUGGAUUAAGAGAUAGUUUUAAUGCAGAAGUUAAAAUAUAAAGUCUGUUCGACUUUUAAAUUCUUACAUGAUCUGAGUUCAAACCGGUGUGAGCCAGGUUGGUUUCUAUCUUUAAUAAAUUAUAAUAUUUUAGUACGAAAGGAAUUAAUAUUUAAAAAAUUUUUUUAAUAAUGAAU
Molecule: ribosomal RNA, 484 nt
Filed under: Diasemopsis aethiopica
Lineage: Eukaryota; Metazoa; Arthropoda; Insecta; Diptera; Diopsidae
Description: partial 16S ribosomal RNA
Rfam family: Bacterial large subunit ribosomal RNA (bases 250-408)
Source: RNAcentral